This 253-nucleotide ribosomal RNA is filed under the name uncultured bacterium. RNAcentral's name for it is "partial 16S ribosomal RNA". It matches the Rfam family "Bacterial small subunit ribosomal RNA", at positions 524 to 776 of the family's 1533-position model. The record is from RNAcentral.
UACGAAGGGGGCUAGCGUUGCUCGGAAUCACUGGGCGUAAAGCGCACGUAGGCGGCCUUUUAAGUCAGGGGUGAAAUCCUGGAGCUCAACUCCAGAACUGCCUUUGAUACUGGGAAGCUCGAGUCCGGGAGAGGUGAGUGGAACUCCGAGUGUAGAGGUGAAAUUCGUAGAUAUUCGGAAGAACACCAGUGGCGAAGGCGGCUCACUGGCCCGGUACUGACGCUGAGGUGCGAAAGCGUGGGGAGCAAACAGG